This is a long non-coding RNA of Catharus ustulatus (Swainson's thrush), 2403 nucleotides long. RefSeq lists it as uncharacterized. The transcript has 2 exons. The record is from RefSeq and is a predicted model, not a curated record. Lineage: Eukaryota; Metazoa; Chordata; Aves; Passeriformes; Turdidae.
GCCUUGCCCUCAACACGCCCUUUAUCUAGAAAUCCAUCAGUCACCGGGGUGAAGUCGUUUAAGUUUUUAGAGUUGCGCUCGAAGUCGCCGUGCGAAGGGCACAGGAGCGCAGGGAGCGGGCGCGCCGAGGCCGUUCUGCGGUGGAGGAUGCGUUCCUGCUUCUCGGCGGUGCCCGAGGGGUGGGAUUAAACCUUCCAGAGGUGCCUCCUGAGAGUCGCGUUCUGACCAUCUGUACCCAAACCGAGCAAAUUCAGCCAUAAAACACAGUGUUAGGUACUUAAACUCUGGAGCCUGAAGAGAGAGAUGUUGUAAGCAGAAAGCCAAGGAAAAUGUGAAAUAAAAAUUAUCAACCCACUGGAAAUUCCCUACCCCGACACGGAAUCAUCAUAUAUUUUGAAGAGACAUCUGGAUUCCUCUAAGUGUGACUUCCCACUGGACAAAGCCAAAGCAGACUUUAUGUGGUGUUGAUAUCAAUCUAGGUUCAAGCAGGAGGCUCAGAAGUCUCCAGGGAUGAGAUCUCACAACCUCUCUAUGUGACCUGCUCUACUGCUGCAUUGCCCUCCUCUUGAUUAAAUUUUCUUAAUCAGCUUCUAAGUUGCAGCUUGUGGCCAUCAAUUGCAGAAUAUACAGAGCAUUUGGAAGUUCUCAUGGAUCUAAGUCACUAAGUAUAGGAACUGUUUUAAAAACAACUGCUGUAUUAAUUAUUUUUAUUAAUAAAAUGUCUGAAAAAAUAUUACUGAUGUGCAGCAAAUGCAGAAAUAAAACUUGUGAAUUUAACUAUGAGCAAUGAACAGACUGAUUGACAAAUUGACUUGAUACCUAAAAAUAAAUAUUGCUCUUGCUAAUUACUCUUUUUAAGUGAACUCUGGAUUUUGCAUUAAUUGCUGUAUAUACAAAGAGACUUUUAAAAUAUUUAGUAAUUUAGCUGCAGAGCAAGGAUGAUUUGUCUUUUCCCGGUGAGGAAAUAGUGUUUUAAAAUAUGACAUAACACAAAAAAAUAUGUGUUAUAUUGCUGGAGUUGCACUUCUGUCUAAAUGUAAUGAACUGCACAUAACCAUCCUUCCUCUUGUUUGACAAUAUUUUCUAUAUAUUAGCCAGUAAAUUAUUGGAUGUAGGGUAGUAGAACUGGUCAUGAGUUUUGACACUUCAGAAAACCUGCUUGGAUGGUUUGGAAUUGUUGAGAGCUGUAUGAAGGAGCCCUCAUUUCUAAUUUCUGUUCUCUGGGCUGCAUGGUGGUCCUGUGUUAGCUUUGGGAAUGAGAGUACAACCACCUGUCUUAAACCGUGCCCUGAAGGAAGGCACUUUGGAGGUGUGAUAGGAGGUGUGGAGAAGAGAUGACUGAGAGGGGACCUUAUCAGUGUAUAUAAAUAUCUGAAGGGAGAAUGUCAAGGGGAUGCUCUUCUUAGUGGUGCCGGGUAGUAAGACAAGAGAUAACUGGCAGAAACUGAUGCACAGAAGUUGUACCUGAAUAUGAGAAAGAGCUUCUUUACUGGAGUAUGAGGAAGAGCUUCUUUAGUGUGCGGGUGAUUGCACACAGGAACAGAUUGCCCAGAGAGGCUGUGGAGUCUCCCCGACUGGAGAUAGUCAAGAACCAUCUGGAGGCAAUCCUGUGCCAUGUGCUCUGGGAUGACCCUGCUCAAACAGCGAGGUGGGACUAGGUGACCCACUGUUGCCCCUUCCAACCUUACCCAUUGUGAAAUUCUGUGACUCAUAUUCUAUGGAAUAAAAGUCUGUCUUACUUCCUGAAUUAAUUUUCUAUCUGCUGUGAUAGGAUAUGGAUAUGGAUAUGGAUAUGGAUAUGGAUAUGGAUAUGGAUAUGGAGUGUUCCUUGAUCUCUUGCUCUUUGGCUUCAGUUCUGACUUGUGUGACAGCAUGUGGCUGGCUGUCCAUUGCGAGCUGGCCUGAGGUUCCUUGCCUGUGUUAUGUAACUGGAGCUGUUGGCUACAGCAUGCCAUGUCCAUCAUCAGUUAUCCAAGGUAUGGUUUGGAAUGAGAACCUAUGAUGCUGUGUGGUUUCAGCCCCCCGCCUCUUUCUGCUUAUGAACUCCUUGUAGUGCUUUUGCACCAGCAGUCUUUCAGAUAACCUAAGAAUAGUAUCCACCCUGCCUAAGAGCAGAAGUAAUUUGUUCUUUCUGCCAGUUCAUUUGGCAUAUCGCUGAGCAAAUAUUGAGGAAUGCAGUUUGCUUCCUUUUUAAUGUGGAACAUAUUAUCCAGUAAGGGAAUGAGAUGGAAUUCAUAUAUCAAGUAUCUUCAACUGCAUUGUAAUAUCAGUAAGGAAAUGGAUUACAGUAUGGCUGGCUUCUUAUGUUCUUGCUUUAAUAUCAGAUUAAAAUGUACUAUAUGGUAUCUUGAAACCACCAUACUUAAUGGACUGUGUUAUACUAAUUAAAGAAUUUUGAAUGCA